GGUGCUUCUCAGGUGAUGCAACCUGGAAUCAAGCUCCCUCCUCUCUGGUUCCGGGUGUGUCACCCAAGAACCACA
This is a non-coding RNA of Myotis davidii, 75 nucleotides long. Lineage: Eukaryota; Metazoa; Chordata; Mammalia; Chiroptera; Vespertilionidae. The record is from Rfam.